RNAcentral lists this ribosomal RNA (405 nucleotides) under uncultured microorganism. Its description in RNAcentral is "bacterial SSU rRNA". It matches the Rfam family "Archaeal small subunit ribosomal RNA", at positions 330 to 735 of the family's 1478-position model. The record is from RNAcentral.
GUGCAGCAGUCGCGAAACCUCCGCAAUGCGGGAAACCGCGACGGGGGACCCCGGACGUGCCGUGGCAAUGCUACGGCUUUUCCGGUAGUGUGAAAAGCUCCGGGGAUAAGGGCUGGGCAAGGCCGGUGGCAGCCGCCGCGGUAAUACCGGCGGCCCGAGUGGUGGCCGCUAUUAUUGGGCCUAAAGCGUCCGUAGCCGGGCCCGUAAGUCCCUGGCGAAAUCCCACGGCUCAACCGUGGGGCUUGCUGGGGAUACUGCGGGUCUUGGGACCGGGAGAGGCGAGGGGUACCCCUGGAGUAGGGGUGAAAUCCUAUAAUCCCAGGGGACCGCCAGUGGCGAAGGCGCCCCGCUGGAACGGGUCCGACGGUGAGGGACGAAGGCCAGGGGAGCAAACCGGAUUAGAUA